Lolium perenne is the source of this 1243-nucleotide long non-coding RNA. RefSeq lists it as uncharacterized. NCBI's taxonomy places the organism in Eukaryota, Viridiplantae, Streptophyta, Magnoliopsida, Poales, Poaceae. The record is from RefSeq and is a predicted model, not a curated record.
UCUCCCACGUCCACACCCUUAAGUCCGCCCCCACCCCCGCCUCUACAUCUCCAUCCUAACUCCCGAUCCCCAAUAUUCGUCAGUCCAUCUAACCCUAAUAGCACUACGCCGCCACAAAUCAAGACAUGGAACAACAUCUACUCUCUUCCUCUCCAGCUUCCCCAGGCGGCGACUACGCAGUGAAUGAUGCGGGGGCGCGUGUGCAACGAGAAAGGGUGAGGCGGAACAUGGUUCUAACGGUGGACCAACGGCAAUCCAGGCUCGACUCAUCGUUUCCCCCUUUCAGAUUUAUGUCUGUUUUUCUCGUUCUUGAUUAGUUCCGCAACCUUGCCGCAUCGGAUUCUGUUGGUUGGUGGUGACGCUGAAGGCACUGAUGGGGAUUUCAAAUCGGGGGAGACGAGGGCAAUCGGGCUUAGGACCUGCAGGCUGCAUCCACCGCUGUUGACAUCGCUGCCGGCAUCGUCGGUAGCCAUCUCAUGUCUAUCCUCACAUGUGCCUAACUGUCCGCCCGUGAUAUUAUCUGUUCACUGUCAGGCCUAUCACAGCUUUCACCAGCUGGAAAUUUAAUUCCUGAAGUUUCAAUAGGAGAAACUUGGUUUUACUUCAGCAGAUUAGAAGAAAUUUGUGUGUGAACUAAUUGUCGUGGACCCUUAUCUUGGCAAGUUAUGCAGGUGAUGUUUAACUGGAUGGACAUGUUAUUUGUGUUUCCUACUGAAUACUUGGAAUUUUGGCUGGUAAACAAAGGAAGUGGAACUAUAUUUUUAUGUUUGCUGGUUUUGAGGCCACUAAAAACUCCUAUUUACCCAGAGGUGCAAUGGGCUAUUUCAGGUUCAUGGUAUAUGGCACAUUGUCCUACAUGCAGACUUGCGUUGGCAUGCUACUGAUGUGUUAAAAGAAAUUCCAAGCAGCAUGCUGGCAUGAAUUUAAAGAUUCAAAAGAUAAAUGGAUGAUGAUAUGGGUAACAAGUUGAGCGGGAGGAGGACAAUGUUAUUAAUGCUGGAUACUAUACUUCACAUAUUAGGAUCUUUAGUUAUCUUUACUACCUCUGAUCCCAUUAAAUUGACGUUGAAGUUGUGAAGAUCGCGUGCAUGUGUACAUGGUAUGCGCGUUGAUUAAAAUGGAUUGAAGGGAGUAGGAGGGAAGUGAUGUUGUAAACAUAGUAUUUGUAUAUGUACCACGUGGAUGGUGUUCCUUUUGUAAUGCUACAAUUUUAAUUCAAUAUAUAAUAUCAUUCUCUUCUCUA